CAUUAUAAUAUUCUUGUUUGUUGUUUUGUUCGUUCAAUUACAAAGUACGCAUAUUUACGUCAGAAGAAGAUAAAUAUAUAUUUGAAGAACGAAUUUAUGUCAGUGGUUCUUCUGAUUAGUGGAUAAUGAAUCCUUCAUCAGCCAGAUAUCUGUCCUUACGUUUAUCUACAGUUGCCCAAAAUGUCCAUGUAACACGAAGGAAAGCAGAUAAAUUUGUUUUUCCAGCGGCUUUCUUACUAGCUAGCUUCGGAGUAGGACUAUCUUCUUUCAGUCUUAAACAGCUGUCCACGACAAAACAGCGAUCGUAGGAUGAACCUUUAAAGCAUAUUGCUUUUUGUUUUUUUUUAGUCAAUCUGCCCUAUUUUUAUGUUAAAACGGCAAAAUAUAAUUUUAGGAAGUAAGCCAUAUCUAAUAGCGCCACUGUUUUUUUGCUAAAUUGUUAUUUCCAAAGAUUAAAGUGAUUAAAUGUCUUUUUUUUCAAA
This 482-nucleotide unclassified non-coding RNA is filed under the name Sitophilus oryzae (rice weevil). RNAcentral describes it as "werner syndrome ATP-dependent helicase-like, transcript variant X4". Lineage: Eukaryota; Metazoa; Arthropoda; Insecta; Coleoptera; Curculionidae. The record is from RNAcentral.